UUUGAGGGGAAUGUUGUCUGGCUCGAGGACUCUCUUUUGAUCCAUCUUUGUUGAUGAUUUUUCUUUAAUUAUAUCCAUAGAUCUAAUAGGUGUAUGGAUUUAGAAUUAGAUUGAUCAUGUGAUAGUGUCGUCGGACCAGGCUUCAUUCCCCCCAAU
RNAcentral lists this microRNA precursor (156 nucleotides) under Jatropha curcas. RNAcentral describes it as "mir-166 microRNA precursor family". It matches the Rfam family "mir-166 microRNA precursor family". From Rfam's summary of the family: This family represents the plant microRNA (miRNA) precursor mir-166. Animal miRNAs are transcribed as ~70nt precursors and subsequently processed by the Dicer enzyme to give a ~22nt product. Lineage: Eukaryota; Viridiplantae; Streptophyta; Magnoliopsida; Malpighiales; Euphorbiaceae. The record is from Rfam by way of RNAcentral.